CUAUAUACAAGUUGCAGUGGCAUAAAAAAACAAACAACUAGUCCUAACUGGAGAGGUAACAGUUGCUUGUUCACUGGGUUGGCCAAACUGCAAAAUGAACAAAAGUGGAGUCAGAAAGCAAAACAGUAUGAUAGAAUUUGAGAAACCUCAAGAAAAUCAGUAUCUAGCUCUAAAAUGGUAGAGUACAAACUGUGACAAAGGAGAGUACCAAGAAAUAAGGCUAUAGAGGUAGGUAGUAGCUACCUAUCUUGACCACAGAGCAGUGUAGGCAUUAGGAAACCAGGUUCAUAGUUUAGACAGAUCUGUCUGGCAACAAUGUAAAAUGGAUUAGGGGGAGGGGAUGAGAAAGAUGGUUGUCAGAGAGACCAGUAUAGGUGACGGGUUAUGAAAACUUAAAUUAAGGCAAUAGUGCAAUGGAGAUAGAAGGGCAGGAAUGUUAGAUGUAGUAAGCAGAUGACAGAACUGAUAGCACUCAAUCAUCAUCAACUUGAGUGAUGGGCAGGGAUUGGGCACAGGCGCCAGAUGAAGGAAAAAGCAGAGUGGAGAAUAAAUUCUGGGUUCAAGUGACAGGUGAAUGGUGGUGUUACUCACUGAGAAGAGGAACCGGUUCAGGGAGGGAAGGAAAGUGUGUUCUGGUUUUGAAUGUGUAGAGUCUGUGAUGCAUUUGAAAUAGCCAGUUCUAAUAUACAUGGGAAUAUAAUCUGGAGCCCAGAGGAGAUAAAUGUCUGGGUAAAGGAGAUAAAUGUCUAGGUGAAAGGUAUGGCAGUAACAGAAAAAACAGGAGUGGAUAAGAUCACUCAGAUAAAGUACUGAAUAAAAAGAAACAAACACAAAACCAGUAACAAAAGGCUUCUGGGGAUACCAAUAAUUAAGUGGCAGAGAAGUCCACAGAAGACAGAGACUGAGCAGUCAUAAAGGCAGAAGCAGAACCUAGAGAAUGAUGUCAUGGAAACCAAGGUAGUGCACAGUUUUCAGAAGGACAGGGUGAGUAAAUGGAGCCAUGAAGUGACUGGUUUUUCACAAAUCAACUGGCUGGUAAAACUUUCACAAUGCCAAAUAUAAGGUUUGGGGGUACACGUACUUACAACUGUAUUAAUUGAGACCCACGAGGCAAGAGAAGUCUAAUGUAUAACAAUUUUUAAAACUUCAUGUGGAAAAAUUAUUCAUUUCACCAGUGACAUUAGGAUCUACUUAUGACCUCUGAUGAGGCCCAAAGAUCUUUAGUGACUUAACAAGUCACAAAAUCAGAAGUGGAAUUUGAAUCUAGAUCAUCUGACUGAAAAUCAACUUUCUUUCAGUUCUUUGUUAUGACUCAUUAUCAGGUUCUUAUUUUAGUAACCAGCUGUGCUUGGUCCCCAUCAACCAAGCCUGCUCUUGCCUUAGCAAAUGACCCUGUACAUUACAGAGGUAAACAUGAUAAACCAA
Molecule: long non-coding RNA, 1425 nt
Filed under: Homo sapiens (human)
Lineage: Eukaryota; Metazoa; Chordata; Mammalia; Primates; Hominidae
Description: HSALNT0336542
Source: RNAcentral